GGAGGGGGAGGAGAUGACAAAACACAUUGGUAGUUGUACUAGGUAGCAUAUGUAGAUGUGUGUUAUGGAUCAAACAAAGAAGAUGGGCCAUAAGAAUUGAAUAAUGGCCCAUUAAUAUUAAGUGUCUACAUUUGAAGAAAAUGGGAAAUUCAUAGCAUUCUGGAAAUACCAAGCUGGCAGGACGUUCCAGAAGGGAAUCAAGUUUGUUAGAGGGAAUUUUGGAUGAAUGCAACUGGUGAUGCUUACGAUGAUGCAUAGUAGAGGAGCGUAUAGAAACUUAUAAAGAGGCAUAGACCAAAUGAAGAGGGCAUGAGAGUGUUAUGAAACGGGAUUUUCCAUUCUAGAGAUGAGCAUAAAUUAGAGAGAAAUAGAGAAAGAAAGGGAAGGGAAAUGGAAGG
This 398-nucleotide unclassified non-coding RNA is filed under the name Hevea brasiliensis (rubber tree). Lineage: Eukaryota; Viridiplantae; Streptophyta; Magnoliopsida; Malpighiales; Euphorbiaceae. The record is from RNAcentral.